This 512-nucleotide ribosomal RNA is filed under the name uncultured marine eukaryote. RNAcentral describes it as "SSU rRNA". It matches the Rfam family "Eukaryotic small subunit ribosomal RNA", at positions 613 to 1129 of the family's 1831-position model. The record is from RNAcentral.
UUGCGGUUAAAAAGCUCGUAGUUGGAUUUCUGCUGAGGACGACCGGUCCGCCCUCCGGGUGAGCAUCUGGUUCGGCCUUGGCAUCUUCUUGGUGAACGUAUCUGCACUUGACUGUGUGGUGCGGUACCCAGGACUUUUACUUUGAGGAAAUUAGAGUGUUUCAAGCAGGCAUACGCCUUGAAUACAUUAGCAUGGAAUAAUAAGAUAGGACCUCGGUUCUAUUUUGUUGGUUUCUAGAGCUGAGGUAAUGAUUAAUAGGGAUAGUUGGGGGCAUUCGUAUUUAACUGUCAGAGGUGAAAUUCUUGGAUUCGUUAAAGACGGACUACUGCGAAAGCAUUUGCCAAGGAUGUUUUCAUUGAUCAAGAACGAAAGUUAGGGGAUCGAAGACGAUCAGAUACCGUCCUAGUCUUAACCAUAAACCAUGCCGACUAGAGAUUGGAGGUCGUUAUCUUUACGACUCCUUCAGCACCUUAUGAGAAAUCAGAGUCUUUGGGCUCCGGGGGGAGUAUGGU